Molecule: small nucleolar RNA, 130 nt
Organism: Perognathus longimembris pacificus (Pacific pocket mouse)
Lineage: Eukaryota; Metazoa; Chordata; Mammalia; Rodentia; Heteromyidae
Product: small nucleolar RNA SNORA40
Exons: 1
Source: RefSeq, a predicted model, not a curated record
AGCACUUGUGUGUGCAUCUUUGUUUACUUUGUAACAAGCCUUACAGACAGGUGUAAACAGUAAAUCUUUUUUUAGCAACCCAGAACUGAUUGUUGAAUAUGAGAUUUUGGUACAAGUAAAAAGGAAUAUG